CUGAGACAGAGAGAGAGCAUCUGUGAGCCAAAUUCACCGGUGCUGGGUUUUAAGGAGAAGAGCCACGAGUGACACGUGGAGGAGUCCCAGAGGCUUAGUGGUAUAGAUCCACUGUCUCUUUUGGAUAUUUAAUUUAUGAUUUAUAAUGUGUUAUAUUGUCAAUAUUAGGGCUUUUUGUUUAUUGUCAAUUAUAUGAAUAUAUAAAUGUAAUCAUGCCUUUCAAACUAUUUCUAUUUUUGGUACAAUUUGGA
Molecule: long non-coding RNA, 251 nt
Organism: Prosopis cineraria
Lineage: Eukaryota; Viridiplantae; Streptophyta; Magnoliopsida; Fabales; Fabaceae
Exons: 2
Source: RefSeq, a predicted model, not a curated record